AUGGCUGCUGCCAUGAGCUUUUCCCACCAAAUACACAUCUUCAUGCUCCUCUGCUACUUGAUGUGGUCUCUGCACCUACCUCGUGCCACUGCUUGGUUUUCUUUCACAUACAACUUCAACCAUCCGCAUGGCUACAACGCCCAAGACUUCAGUUACCAGGGCGACGCAUACUUCAACACCGUGUCUCAGGCAAUCCAGCUGACAAGAGCCGGUGGGAGUCCGAACAUCCGGAACAGUGUAGGCCGGGCGCUGUUGGUGCAGCCCGUGCCGCUGUGGGAUACCAUCACCGGCGAGCUCACCCAAUUCAACACCUCCUUCACCUUCCGAAUCAAUGUAAGCAGUGAGAUCACGGGCCAGGGCUUUGCUUUCUUUAUCGGGAGCUAUCCUUGGACGAGCAUGUCCGAUCCCCUUGAAAACGGCCAAAACCUAGGCCUUUUCAAGGGAAACCUCAGCACGGUUGCCACCGGCGACAAACAAAUCGUGGCGGUCGAGUUUGAUACGUUCUUCAACGUUGGCGUUGACACCAGUGGCAGCCACAUGGGCAUUGACGUCAACUCCAUCGUCUCCAAGGCGUACACCAACGUGACUGUGCCUGGCAAGAACCUAACGUCCGGCCUCCCGAUGACUUGUAACAUCACCUACAGCAACGAAACACAAACUCUAGCAGCUAUUCUCAAGAUCGGCGACGCGACAUACAGUGUCAACACUAGUGUUGACCUGAGGCUCAUGCCUAGUGUGGUGACCAUUGGCUUCUCCGGUGCUACCGGCGCGGCAGACGAGUUAUAUCAAAUAAUGUCCUGGAAAUUUCGCUCCACCUUCAACCCGCAUGCACGGAAGAGCUAUGAGAGUCCCCCUCCUGCACCAAAGAUCCUGCUAAUAGAGGUAAUAACCGGACCAAUUAUUGGAGUUAUUGCAAUUGUGUGCAUCUUUGUUGGUGUCCGUCGAUGGCAACUAUGCACGAGAAAGAAGCGUUACAGAUCUCUCGCAGGGGGCAUUGGACAUAUUGGUUAUUGUAAGUUGGCGCUUGCAGCCAACAAAUUCGCACAGGAAAACAAGCUAGGGCAAGGAGGCUCUGCCUCUGUUUAUCGGGGCGAACUGGCAAAUCCAAGUAGAGCAGUGGCAAUAAAGAGAUUCAAGCCGGCAACAUCUAGCGAGGGGAGGAAGGCGUUCGAGGACGAACUCAGGAUUGCCAGUCGCCUCAGGCAUAGGAAUCUUGUCGAAUUGAUAGGUUGGUGCUAUUAUGGCCAGAGAAACUUGGUUGAGUUUAUAUGCUGGUGGCGGGACGAUAGGUAUACACGUCUCUUCCUUGUGUACGAGCUUUUACCGCAAGGUAGCCUCGAUCAACACUUACACGAGGGCAAGAGUUGGUUGCCAUGGUCCAAGAGGUACGAUAUCAUCCUGGACCUAGGAUCUGCACUGCAAUACCUCCAUGUAGAUUGCGAGCAACACAAGCAAUGUGUCGUACAUGGUGAUAUCAAAUCAAGCAACAUGCUGCUUGACCCUUCGUAUGGUGCCAAGUUAGGUGACUUUGGAUUGGCAAGGUCUGUUCACCAAGGAACUGGGGCACAUACCACCGACGUUGUCCAGGGCACUUAUGGAUAUAUAGACCCUGUGUUUGUCAACACGAGCCAACGAAAUAGGCAGUCAGACAUCUACAGUUUCGGCAUUGUCCUACUAGAGAUGGUCUCUGGAAGGGACCCUACGGUGCGUCUCAAUGAUAGGCCUCCAUUGACAUCAUGGGUAAAGAGUUUGUACCAUGGGAAUGCACUCCUCGAGGCCGCAGAUGUCAGGCUGAUAGGUGGCGAGUCCAGUGUUGGGCGACAACAGAUGAAGCGUGCACUACUAGUUGGGCUCUUGUGCGUGCACCAGGAUCCGAGCUGCCGGCCGUCCAUCAUCCACACCAUGGAUGCUCUGCGAUCGGAGAGGCUGGAAUUGGACAUCACUCCCCUAGCGCCAAUGAUACCACUCUUGAUGCCAUAG
Molecule: ribosomal RNA, 1980 nt
Filed under: Triticum aestivum (bread wheat)
Lineage: Eukaryota; Viridiplantae; Streptophyta; Magnoliopsida; Poales; Poaceae
Description: partial small subunit ribosomal RNA
Source: RNAcentral